Molecule: long non-coding RNA, 317 nt
Filed under: Lathyrus oleraceus (garden pea)
Lineage: Eukaryota; Viridiplantae; Streptophyta; Magnoliopsida; Fabales; Fabaceae
Description: Pisum sativum (pea) long non-coding RNA (PSAT_LNC009710)
Source: RNAcentral
AGAGGUUGAACGAAUUUGCAGUCCAAAUGUGACGAGCUCCAUUGUAACACCGUCCAAUGAGUUUGCAAGUAUCUCAAAGUCCAUAGUUCCCGGAUGAAGUAUACAACCCUCAACCUUUUGAGCUACUAAUUGCCAUGGAACAAUUGCACUGUAACGUUCAACAACGGUAAGCAAACGAUUGCUAUAGUGUAUACUGCGGUUUGCUUUUUAUGAGGUCUUUUGAAUUUUUAGUUUAAGCUUUUUAUUGGCUUCAGGUGGGAUCAAUGCUGAAAUCAAUUUAUCAAUUAUCUCAAUCUCAAUGUCGCCAAAAGCCAACG